Molecule: non-coding RNA, 844 nt
Organism: Misgurnus anguillicaudatus (oriental weatherfish)
Lineage: Eukaryota; Metazoa; Chordata; Actinopteri; Cypriniformes; Cobitidae
Source: RefSeq, a predicted model, not a curated record
CCCCACCUCACCCCCUGCAUCUUUUAAUUCAUUUUUGAUUCACAUUUGCUUGGUAAUACUUUGGGGAGUUUUAUUCAUUUUUAAAAGCGAUAUUGAAAUUCUUUAUCCAGUGAAAUUUUCCAAACCUUUGUUGAUGGAGAAACUACAAAGAAGAUUCUGCAUAGUUGGUCAAAAGGUCUUUCGUCCAUCCAUUGCCUAGCAAGGCCUUCAUACAACUUCAGCCAAUUGAUACAAAUGUGGUGGAAUUUCUUUUCUGGACAGAAUCCUCGAAACCCUUUCCUUUCGUCCUGGCCAUGGGAAACAUGCAGCAGAUCUCUCAAUCUUUUGUAAUUAUUAAUGGCAAGCUCUGGAACAAAGCACACAACUUGCAGCUGUUGAUGUAUGUUUUAAGCGAGGGGAAAACUAGAUUAGAAAACUAAACUGGAAAAAUGGGGGGGGGCAUCAGGACUGCCUGCAUAGGGACCUUGUGCUACGCCCCUGCACACCAAUGUAGAGUACAACCUUGGGUCAGCUAUCGAAUCAAUAAGCCCCUUGCUACCCCUUAGCCACACUGUCAAAGAAAACCCAAGUUUAACUUACCAAAUAAGAGCCCUGAGUAUUGUCUACUCUUUUGAGGAGAGUUCUGAUGCUACAACCUCUUACUUAUUCACCAUGAAAACCAGUGUUAAGCAAAGUGAAAAAUCCUUCAGCGCUUUGCUACGAGAAGAACUCUCUCAGAUCUCAAGCUCCUUAGUUGCAGAUUAGGUGGAUGAGGAUGAGCCAGUGCUUGAUGAGCUGAAUUAUGUCAGAGAAGAGAAUGUUCCCAAGAUCAAUGUCCAGAGACCUAGUCCCAUUUUGAAUGUGC